UACGAGAGCCUCGAGCGUUAUCCGGAAUUAUUGGGCGUAAAGGGUGCGUAGGUUGUUCUGUUAGUCCUCUGUCAAAGCCCCGGGCUUAACCUGGGAUUCGCGGUGGAAACGGCAGAACUUGAAAGUGCGAGAGGCGUACGGAACUCAUGGUGUAGGAGUGAAAUCCGUUGAUAUCAUGGGGAACACCAAAAGCGAAAGCAGUACGCUGGCGCAUAUUUGACACUGAAGCACGAAAGCAUGGGUAGCGAAUGGG
RNAcentral lists this ribosomal RNA (253 nucleotides) under uncultured bacterium. Its description in RNAcentral is "partial 16S ribosomal RNA". It matches the Rfam family "Bacterial small subunit ribosomal RNA", at positions 524 to 776 of the family's 1533-position model. The record is from RNAcentral.